Non-coding RNA from Podarcis lilfordi (Lilford's wall lizard), 78 nucleotides. The record is from the annotation of a GenBank genome assembly. NCBI's taxonomy places the organism in Eukaryota, Metazoa, Chordata, Lepidosauria, Squamata, Lacertidae.
GCCCAGCCAUGAUAGCUCAGUUGGUAGAACAUGAAACUGUUAAUCUCAGGGUCAUGGGUUCGAGCCACACUUUGGGCA